UACAGAGGGGGCAAGCGUUGUUCGGAAUUACUGGGCGUAAAGGGCGCGUAGGCGGCCUGCUAAGUCGAACGUGAAAUCCCUGGGCUCAACCCAGGAACUGCGUCCGAUACUGGUUGGCUUGAAUCCGGGAGAGGGACGUGGAAUUCCAGGUGUAGCGGUGAAAUGCGUAGAUAUCAUCAGGAAUACCGGAGGCGAAGGCGGCUCACUGGGGGUUAUCUGACGCUGAGGAACGAAAGCCAGGGGAGCAAACGGG
Molecule: ribosomal RNA, 253 nt
Filed under: uncultured bacterium
Lineage: Bacteria
Description: partial 16S ribosomal RNA
Rfam family: Bacterial small subunit ribosomal RNA
Source: RNAcentral